RNAcentral lists this non-coding RNA (30 nucleotides) under Rattus norvegicus (Norway rat). Lineage: Eukaryota; Metazoa; Chordata; Mammalia; Rodentia; Muridae. The record is from RNAcentral.
UGUGGAAUUCUAAAGCUUACAGGUGCACGU